GAUGAACGCUGGCGGCGUGCCUAAUACAUGCAAGUCGAGCGAACGGACGAGAAUCUUGCUUCUCUGAUGUUAGCGGCGGACGGGAGUGUAACACGUGUAUAACCCACCUAUAAUUCUGGUAUCACUUCGGGAAACGGGCUCUUAUACCGUAGGAUAUCUUGCUCCACAUGGGUCAAUAGUGAGAGACGGUGUUGGUGUCUCUUAUAGCGGCAUCCCCGCUUCAUGGGCUGGUUGGUAAGUUCACGGCCUACCAAGGCAACGAUGCGUAGCCGAACUGAGAGGGUGAUAGGCCACACUGGAGCUGAGCCGCGGACCAGACUCCUGAGGGAGGCAGCAGUAGGGAAUGUUACGCAAUGGGCGAAAGCCUGACGGAGCAACGCCGAGUGAGUGAUGAAGGUCUUCGGAUCGUAAAGACCUGUUAUUAGGGAAGAACAUAUGUGUAAGUAACUGUGGACAUCUUGACGGUACCUAAUCAGAAAGCCACGGCUAACUACGUG
This 497-nucleotide ribosomal RNA is filed under the name uncultured bacterium. RNAcentral's name for it is "partial 16S ribosomal RNA". It matches the Rfam family "Bacterial small subunit ribosomal RNA", at positions 28 to 507 of the family's 1533-position model. The record is from RNAcentral.